GCUCUCUGAGCUCUGCAUCGUUACACUUGGCUUCACCUGUGUGACUUUCCUAAUGGGGAGAGAAAGAAAAUAGCACCUCAAGACCUCGGAUUGGCCUUAGGGUGGCCUCUCUUUUCUUGAGGGGUACAAUGGGU
Molecule: small nucleolar RNA, 134 nt
Organism: Microcebus murinus (gray mouse lemur)
Lineage: Eukaryota; Metazoa; Chordata; Mammalia; Primates; Cheirogaleidae
Source: Ensembl